GCCCUUGAAAGUGUAAGACGUAUGAGAAAUAUUCGAGCGCCGAGGGAACCUUAUAAAUGGCGUGGUAUUGCUGUGCUUUUGUGAGGUCCUGCAAUUGCAAAGCGAAAUGUAAAAGUUGGAUUAAAGGAAAUAAGUUCCCAAACUCACGCGCUACUGCUAACUAUAUUGGCUGCCGCACAUCCUGCUCUUGGGACUACUUAUAGGCAGUUUAUCGCACUCACCUUAUGCUGGCGCACAAAGCCGUCGUGUAUGCUGAACGCUAAGCUUGUCACUUUUUGUGUAAUUAUCAUUAGUGGACCGGUGAUGUCCAGCGAGUAGGAGCCAUAGUCGUAGAUCUGCCUAAUCAGAUGGAUGCACAACAGGUAUGUCAUGGCGACGAGCAUGACAUUUCUGCAAAUAUAGAAGAGGAGAAUGCAUACGUGUAUACAGAUGUACAUUUAUCCUUACCGCUGCACCACCCGCGGAUCCUGUGUACGUAUGACAAUGUAGCAAACGGAUGGAAGCCCAGCAAUAUGUAUGGCUUGUGGACCAAAGCAAAAGUAGCCAAAUGCCAAGCCCACAGUUAGCGCGAAAAUGUGACGCACAUGGGCUGAUACUCUGGAAGGAUGCAGUAUCGAGCGGAACAAGGAGGCCAGGAAGAGUGCACCGAUUUGACAUAUUAAAAAGUUAAUC
Zeugodacus cucurbitae (melon fly) is the source of this 672-nucleotide long non-coding RNA. RefSeq lists it as uncharacterized. The record is from RefSeq and is a predicted model, not a curated record. NCBI's taxonomy places the organism in Eukaryota, Metazoa, Arthropoda, Insecta, Diptera, Tephritidae. The transcript has 3 exons.